This 163-nucleotide small nuclear RNA is filed under the name Carlito syrichta (Philippine tarsier). Its description in RNAcentral is "U1 spliceosomal RNA (ENSTSYG00000029752.1)". It matches the Rfam family "U1 spliceosomal RNA". From Rfam's summary of the family: U1 is a small nuclear RNA (snRNA) component of the spliceosome (involved in pre-mRNA splicing). Lineage: Eukaryota; Metazoa; Chordata; Mammalia; Primates; Tarsiidae. The record is from Rfam by way of RNAcentral.
AUACUGUCCUGGGAGGGGAGAUACCAUGAUAAUGAGGUGGUUUUCUCAGGGUGAGGCCUAUUCAUUGAACUCCAGAUGUGCUGACUCCUGCAAUUUUCCCAAAUGUGGGAAAUGCAACUGCAUAAUUUGUGAUAGUGAAGGACUGCAUUCACACUCUCCCCUG